This 36-nucleotide non-coding RNA is filed under the name Prorocentrum micans. The record is from RNAcentral. RNAcentral also lists the same sequence under 2 other names. Lineage: Eukaryota; Dinophyceae; Prorocentrales; Prorocentraceae.
UUUUUUUUUUUUUUUUUUUUUUUUUUUUUUUUUUUC